GAAUUUAGAUGUCGUGAGUUUCUUUAUAUUUUCUAUAUUAUAUAAACAUAAAUAUGUAGUAAAAUAAGUUAAUAAUAUGCUAGUUAGAAGUGGUGAAUUUGCUUGUGAUGAAUUAGGUAUGUUGAACUUCGCGUUUAUGAUAAGCUAAUUAGGUAAGCUUUAAGAGAAUAACUGCCAUUAGUUAAAUUUUGUGAACUUAGGUUUGGCGGAUUUGCUUGAUAUUUUCCAUGGUAUAUAAGCAUAGAAAAGUAAUUAAAUCAGUAAGUAAUAUGCUAGUGAUUAGUGCCCGUGGGGAGUUAGAUAUGUUGAAUUAAGCCUUAGUGAUUCGGUCAUCUAAAGUUUAACAAAAAUAUGUAAAUUUUAAGAAAGUAAAUGUCAUUAGAUAUGGUUAAUUUAGAAGCGGGAAAUUAAGGUGUGGUGAGUUUACGUGAUAUUUUCAAUAUUAUAUAAGCUCAGCUUUUGUGAUAAGCUGAAUUAUGUAGGCUUUACGAGUAUAAGUGGAAUUAGUUAAAUUUUAUGAACUUUGAUUUGGUGGGUUUCUUUGAUAUUUUCAAUACCAUGUUAACAUAGAAAUGUACAUAUGUAAAUAAAUUAGUAAGUAACACGCUAGUGACAUUUGGUGAAUUUUCCCGUGGUGGUUAGGUAUGCUGAAUUAAGUCUUGGUGAUUCGGUCGUCUUAAGUUUAACUUUUGUAAGCUUUAAGAAAGUAAUUGUCAUUAGUUAGAUGUGGUUAAUUUAGAACUGGUGAGUUUAGGUGUGGUGUGUUACUUUAGUAAUUUCCAUAUUAUAUUAACAGAAAAAUGUCAUUAAAUCAGUUAAUAAUAUGUUUACGAGGUAUGACAAUUUCACCUCUGGUGAGUUAGGUACUUUUAAUUAAGCUUUGGUAAUACAGAUGACUGCAUGAAGUUUAGUUGAAUUAAGUAAGCUUUAAGUGAGUGUCAUUAGUUAUAGGUCAGGUGGUGAACUUAAAAGUGGUGAGUUUAGAUGUGAUGGAUUUCUUUAAUGUUUUAGAUAACAUUAAUAUAAAAAUGUAAUUAAAUCAGAUUGUAAUAUGUUGUUUAGAUAUGGUAAAUUUGGCUGUGUUGAGUUAGGGAUGUUGAAUUAAGCCGUAGUGAAUAUGAACGAAAUUUGUUAACAUAAUUAGCGAAAAAAAUGCUAUUAGUUAGAUGUGGUGAAUUUAGAAGUGGUGAGUUUAGGUGUGGUGAGUUUUAUUUAUACUUUGUUUUUUUCUCUACGUAUAAAAAUUUUUGAUGCUGAUCUUAAACUAUACCCUUUUCUUCAACCAAAUGCGGUCAGUAAUUUGCUCUUAGAAAUUAAACUCACUAACUAUAAGCUGAACGAAGAGAAUCUUAGAAAUAUAAAAAGUCGCACAAGUAAUAUAUUUCAGACCAUAUACACUAUUUGUUUACAGCAACAAUUUUGGAUUUUAUGCUUUAAAUCGCCUGAAAUAUGUAUGCGCCAUAGUUACAGAGUGUUCUUAGUUUCGAAGAGAGUCUGGUAGAAUUUUUGUAGUAAUAUAGAAGUAUACAGUAGGUGGUUAAGGGGAUCAAAGGGGUUUGAGUUCUAAAAUCUUGCGUAAUUUUGACAUUUUUUUCCUGUUAAACAUUUCAUUCUUCAAGAACCGCUUUUUUCCAUUUAAUAUACUUAUUCCGGUAUAUAUGGACUUAGUACUUGGACUUCUGAUGUAUUGGUACAUAUGUACAUAUGUAUAUAAUAUAAACAUACAUAUAUACCGCUUGUGAAUACCCUUUGUCCCCCCCUUCUUUUGUGCUCUCCAACGAAUAUACACAACAAAAACAAUCAAAAAUUUUCCAUCAAAGUUUUUUUUUUUGAAAAUUUGAUUAUCAAGAAAUAAUGUAAACUUCAAAAACGCACUGCGAAUACACAGGCGAUGGAACCAAGUCGCACGAGAGUUUGCAUUUGUUAUUUAAUAUCGACAUUUCUAAUUGGUUACUUCAUCUACAUACUGGUCUCAAGCAAUUUGGAGAAUAGGCGCAAACUCGGCCGACUGCGUGAGGAGGUCGACGAGAUAGCGCACGUUGUGCUGCACACAGCGCCGGGACAAGGGGACACAAAGCACUUAAAUGAGAUCGUUGACGGCAUACUGAAGAAGCGGCUCGCCGGCAUCUGGGAUGACUUGUACACGAUGAAAAAGCAGUUGCGGCUCACAGAAUGUACCGGCCGCACGACAACGACGGCACACACCAUGACGGCGGAGGGUGAGGGCGGCGCUUUAAUGGAGCGCACUAUGCCGGCGCGUGUCAAUUAUGCAGCGGAGGAGUUAGGCGCAAAGGUGCAUGAUGUGAACGCUGAGCCGCUGAAUGGCGGCAAUCUGGUGCGUUCAGUGCUCGGGCUGCAGUACAGCGCAAAUCCGCCUAUAAAUAUGCUAAAGCCCGGCAUGGAACCGGGCAAUUGUUUUGCUUUCAAGCGCGCCAAGGCGGUGGUGACCAUCAAGCUGGCGCAGGCGAUAUUUGUGGAGAGUUUCGAGUUGGCGCAUCUGUGCAAGGACAAUGCACCCAAUAAUGAUACAACGAGUGCGCCGAAGGAGUUCGAAGUUUACGUAAGUAUUCAGGGGACUUUAGUGACAGUUAUAGGUAGCGGAGUUUAGGUUUGGGGUUUUGAAAUAAAGAGAGGAAGAGAGAGCUGCAGCAUGAACUUCGCGCAUGUCUCCUAAAUGGCAUCACCGCUACUUCAUCGAAAGAAGCGAAGUUUGGUGACUUUACCUACACAAAUCAGCAUCCGCCCGCACAAAAUUAC
This 2757-nucleotide unclassified non-coding RNA is filed under the name Bactrocera tryoni. Its description in RNAcentral is "sUN domain-containing protein 3, transcript variant X2". The record is from RNAcentral. Lineage: Eukaryota; Metazoa; Arthropoda; Insecta; Diptera; Tephritidae.